Molecule: long non-coding RNA, 972 nt
Organism: Betta splendens (Siamese fighting fish)
Lineage: Eukaryota; Metazoa; Chordata; Actinopteri; Anabantiformes; Osphronemidae
Exons: 7
Source: RefSeq, a predicted model, not a curated record
ACGUAAUAAAAAUAGGUUUAGACAACAACAUGUCCAGAGCUGAAGGUGGCAGUAAUGAGCAAAUUCACAACUUGGACUACGGCCCUGCCGCUUCUUCAGGAUCCUGACGUAAAGGAAAACACCUGUUCAUGAUGUGUGCAAGAAGGUGUUAGAGCAGAGAACUACUGGAAACGGAAAACAGAAGUACAGAGACUUGCCCUAAUGGAAAGUGUCCCAUUCUAGAGCUGAGAAGAGACAGCAGGACAGGGAAUCAUCUGCUAGUGUCGCGUCAGAUGUCUACAUGUCCACAAGUUGUUUAAGAAAAAGUAAGAUACGACUAUUGCAAACACAAGGCAAGAAGUUAUCAGAGAUGAACCCUUCAUCACCGAGUUCAAAACCAGAUGGCCUGCUCUCUUCUGUGUUUCUGAGAAUAAAUUUAAGAGGACUACAACAGUUUGCUGCAACAGUUCUUCUCCAUGCUGGAUGGUUAUUCUUCAGACCUGAAAACGGUGUUUGGCAAGGAUGGCGGCAUUCAAGGACAAAAGAUUAAGAGCAUCAUGGUUCCCAUAACCCAGACUAACUCCAUUGAUGUCAGAAGAGUACAUCCUUUAAGCCCAGUGUGUGUUCCUCAAUGAAGAUCCUGGCAACCUUGUGAAAGAAUGGAUGAUCGUGGACGCCUUGAAGAAGCCAUGAUAGAGACAAUUCUUGAAGUUUUUGUCAUUCACAAAGAUGCAGAGGCAGAUGAUGACCCUGAAGAUGUAGUCAUCGUUUCAAGUCCUGGAUGAGUUGGGUAGUGUCCCACUUGCUGUGUUGUUGUUUGCUCUUGUUAUAUGCUCUCAACCUCAGCUACCCUCCACUAAAAGUUGUUUGAAAUAUUGGCCCAAUGCUGUAUGUACAAUACUGGAUGUUAGUGACAUUUUGUAGCUGCCUUUGACAUUUGAAAGCUGUUUUAUUGUUUUUAUGAAGCUUAUAAAGUAUUCUAACCAGUCUAAA